GUCAUAUAUGUAGCACCUAGCCAGAGAUGUUAUACAUCUAUCUAUGGUAGCACACAGAAACGUGUCCGAUUCCUCCAAAACGCGUCAAUGUGACGUCAAUGAUUUGAUAAACAUGUCAAAUUGCACUGGCGAAACCACUUCUGCGGGACGCCGGUCGAGCAGUACCCUCAUAGACAUACAUUUUGUAAAAAGACAUUUAUAGGCAUCACCGGA
RNAcentral lists this long non-coding RNA (213 nucleotides) under Mytilus galloprovincialis (Mediterranean mussel). The record is from RNAcentral. Lineage: Eukaryota; Metazoa; Mollusca; Bivalvia; Mytilida; Mytilidae.